AGAGCGAACGCUGGCGGCAGGCCUAAUACAUGCAAGUCGAACGGACCCUUCGGGGUUAGUGGCGGACGGGUGAGUAACACGUGGGAACGUGCCUUUUGGUUCAGAACAACUCAGGGAAACUUGAGCUAAUACUGAAUAAGCCCUACGGGGGAAAGAUUUAUCGCCAUUAGAGCGGCCCGCGUUGGAUUAGCUAGUUGGUGAGGUAAAGGCUCACCAAGGCUACGAUCCAUAGCUGGUCUGAGAGGAUGAUCAGCCACACUGGGACUGAGACACGGCCCAGACUCCUACGGGAGGCAGCAGUUAGGAAUCUUGCGCAAUGGGCGAAAGCCUGACGCAGCCAUGCCGCGUGAAUGAUGAAGGUCUUAGGAUUGUAAAAUUCUUUCAGCGGGGAAGAUAAUGACUGUACCCGCAGAAGAAGCUCCGGCUAACUUCGUGCCAGCAGCCGC
Molecule: ribosomal RNA, 446 nt
Filed under: uncultured bacterium
Lineage: Bacteria
Description: SSU rRNA
Rfam family: Bacterial small subunit ribosomal RNA
Source: RNAcentral